UGCGCGAAAAGGAGGUAUUCGUCACUGAGGGUCUCACGCUUAUUUAUUCAGUCUACCGUCUCACGUCGAUGGUUGAAUUUGAUGUAAUAUUAGCAUAUUUCAUGACAGUGGAACCCAACACGUAGCUGAGCCUGACAACGACGUGAACCGGCCUGAAAUGUCCUCACUUGAAUGUGCAUUCGUCUCAUUGACUGCAGUACCUCAUGGAGCCAGCCGGGGUCGUCCUUGCUUCACCACAGUCGGGCUGCAGAAAGGCAGCAUGUACGCACCUUUCUGAGAGGCGCAGAAACCGGGCCAGAUGCACGCGCCUGUCCUUGUUGAUGUAGAUGCUGAACAGAAAGGCCCUCUCCAGCUCUCUGAUUUGCUGCUUGGAGUAAGGACACCGCUUCUUCCUCUUCACACGGGGCUCUGCUGGGGCCUGUGGUUCCUGUCAUUUUGCUGAAGUGGCCCAGAGGUAAUGCACGUGGAGUUUUCCUGUCUUGAGGCUCAGCCAGGCUAUAGGACUCACAACUUAGUAGGACCUUUCUGUGAAAAAUGUCUGGAGUAUUUUACUAAACCUGACUCAACGAACAAACCAGAUGCAGACCUAAAAUGUGCAUUAUAGCCAUAUUUCGUUCAUCACAUGUCACAGCCAGAUGGAAGUCUUUAUGGAUGAGCUUGCUACACCAAGAACCCUGUAGGUCCACAGCAAUCUAUAAACCUCAGGGCUGUGUGGGGAUUUUCCAUUUCACUGCACAAUA
Long non-coding RNA from Notolabrus celidotus (New Zealand spotty), 740 nucleotides. RefSeq lists it as uncharacterized. Lineage: Eukaryota; Metazoa; Chordata; Actinopteri; Labriformes; Labridae. The transcript is spliced from 5 exons. The record is from RefSeq and is a predicted model, not a curated record.